GACGAACGCUGGCGGCGUGCCUAAUACAUGCAAGUCGAACGCAUUUUCUUUCACCGUAGCUUGCUACACCGAAAGAAAAUGAGUGGCGAACGGGUGAGUAACACGUGGGUAACCUGCCCAUCAGCGGGGGAUAACACUUGGAAACAGGUGCUAAUACCGCAUAAUUCCAUUUACUGCAUGGUAGAUGGAUGAAAGGCGCUUUUGCGUCACUGAUGGAUGGACCCGCGGUGCAUUAGCUAGUUGGUGGGGUAACGGCCUACCAAGGCUGGGAUGCAUAGCCGACCUGAGAGGGUGAUCGGCCACACUGGGACUGAGACACGGCCCAGACUCCUACGGGAGGCAGCAGUAGGGAAUCUUCGGCAAUGGACGCAAGGCUGACCGAGCAACGCCGCGUGAGUGAAGAAGGUUUUCGGAUCGUAAAACUCUGUUGUUAGAAAAGAACAAGGAUGAGAGUGGAAAGUUCAUCCCUUGACGGUAUCUAACCAGAAAGCCACGGCUAACUACGUG
RNAcentral lists this ribosomal RNA (507 nucleotides) under uncultured bacterium. RNAcentral's name for it is "partial 16S ribosomal RNA". It matches the Rfam family "Bacterial small subunit ribosomal RNA", at positions 28 to 507 of the family's 1533-position model. The record is from RNAcentral.